Molecule: ribosomal RNA, 509 nt
Filed under: uncultured fungus
Lineage: Eukaryota; Fungi
Description: eukaryotic LSU rRNA
Rfam family: 5.8S ribosomal RNA (bases 183-333)
Source: RNAcentral
AAGUCGUAACAAGGUCUCCGUAGGUGAACUGCGGAGGGAUCAUUACCGAGAGAGGGCGCCCGCGCGCCGACCUCCAACCUCUGUCGACGUACCGCGUUGCCUCGGGCGCCUCGCGGGCGCCCCAGAGGACACCAAUCGAACUCUGCAUCUCAUGCGUCGGAGUCAUUAUGUGAAUCAAUCAAAACUUUCAACAACGGAUCUCUUGGUUCUGGCAUCGAUGAAGAACGCAGCGAAAUGCGAUAAGUAAUGUGAAUUGCAGAAUUCAGUGAAUCAUCGAAUCUUUGAACGCACAUUGCGCCCCCUGGCAUUCGAGGGCAUGCCGUUCGAGCGUCAUUACACCACUUAAGCCUGGCUUGGUAUUGGGCGGCGGGACCCCCCGCGCCUCUAAUGUGUCGGCUGGACGGUCUGAAUCUCAGCGUUGUGAAUCAAUUCGCUGGCGGGACGACCGACGCGCGUUAAACUUCAUCACAGGUUGACCUCGGAUCGGGUAGGAUACCCGCUGAACUUAA